AGACCAGACUCCUACGGGAGGCAGCAGUCGGGAAUAUUGCGCAAUGGAGGAAACUCUGACGCAGUGACGCCGCGUAUAGGAAGAAGGUUUUCGGAUUGUAAACUAUUGUAGACAGGGAAGAAGAAAGACAGUACCUGUAGAGUAAGCUCCGGCUAACUACGUGCCAGCAGCCGCGGUAAUACGUAGGGAGCAAGCGUUAUCCGGAAUUAUUGGGUGUAAAGGGUGCGUAGACGGGAAUACAAGUUAGUUGUGAAAUCCCUCGGCUUAACUGAGGAACUGCAACUAAAACUAUAUUUCUUGAGUGCGGGAGAGGAAAGUGGAAUUCCUAGUGUAGCGGUGAAAUGCGUAGAUAUUAGGAGGAACACCAGUGGCGAAGGCGGCUUACUGGACUGUAACUGACGUUGAGGCUCGAAAGCGUGGGGAGCAAACAGGAUUAGAUACCCUCGUA
This 448-nucleotide ribosomal RNA is filed under the name uncultured bacterium. Its description in RNAcentral is "bacterial SSU rRNA". It matches the Rfam family "Bacterial small subunit ribosomal RNA", at positions 328 to 792 of the family's 1533-position model. The record is from RNAcentral.